GGGUCAGUAAGCAUAGUUGGCGAUUGCAGCAGACUGUAAAUCUGUGACAUUUGAAACACCGUUGGUUCGACUCCAACCUGGCCCACCA
Molecule: transfer RNA, 88 nt
Filed under: Agathobaculum butyriciproducens
Lineage: Bacteria; Bacillati; Bacillota; Clostridia; Eubacteriales; Butyricicoccaceae
Description: tRNA-Tyr
Rfam family: tRNA
About the family: Transfer RNA (tRNA) molecules are approximately 80 nucleotides in length. Their secondary structure includes four short double-helical elements and three loops (D, anti-codon, and T loops).
Source: RNAcentral